Long non-coding RNA from Balaenoptera musculus (blue whale), 582 nucleotides. RefSeq lists it as uncharacterized. Lineage: Eukaryota; Metazoa; Chordata; Mammalia; Artiodactyla; Balaenopteridae. The record is from RefSeq and is a predicted model, not a curated record. The transcript is spliced from 3 exons.
UUUUUUUUUUUCCUGGAAACUCUGUACAAGUCUGUCUUGUUUUCUGUCACAUAUUGUGUUCCGACAAGUGUUCACAAACAGGAGUAAUGUUUGGCUGGUAAACUGGAUUUUAAAAGGAGCCUGCGUGAGGUUUGUAACAAGAUGUUAAUACCUCCCAAGAACGUCUGUCUCUCCCGUCAAGAGUCUGCACUGUUCAGACAACACAGGGUGAGCGUCCGGGGAGGACAGCCGUGUGGAAUGCUGGUGAAACUCCACAACCAUGCACGUUAGAACCAAGUACAGUUAAGUGACGGGAGGGAGGCUUUGGUCUAAAAAAUCCCACUGGAUGUUUUGUACCUCCCAAUGUGGUUAUAUCUUCCAGGAUAUACAACAAAUCCUAAAUUUAAGAAAACUGGGGCAAGAAAGUAUUUUUAAUGUCCCUUUUCCUUUUGAGGAUGCCACACCUCCACAAAGCUCAGUCUCGCCGCUCAGGAAAAUGGGGAGGUUGGCUGGGUGUCACCUUUGGGGUUCGGGCUCUGUAUUGUAAGGCAGGAGAAACAUGCUUUAUACGGUUUGGACCAAAUUCACAAUUCUAUGAAGGCA